UCACUGCCUGGUCUUUCUAACCUACCUGAGGAUGGCCACAAGUAAAGAAUCAAAGGAGAACUUCUUUAUCCUGGCGGUGUUUGGAGAAAUUAUCUAUGAGAACUUCCUUUUUGACAUUCCCAAAAUGUUGGAUCUGACUGUGUUGUUUGAAAAGGCAACAGCCAGCUGCUGCAUAUGAUGACAGAGAAAAUCUUAACCCUGCAGCCUUUCUACCACAGUGACUUGGAUAAGAUGGUACCCAGUGAUACCCA
Molecule: long non-coding RNA, 251 nt
Organism: Scomber scombrus (Atlantic mackerel)
Lineage: Eukaryota; Metazoa; Chordata; Actinopteri; Scombriformes; Scombridae
Exons: 3
Source: RefSeq, a predicted model, not a curated record